CUUAAUGGUAAUUAAAUGCAAUAAAUGAAACGGCAGAAAAAGAAACCUAAUAUCUACCCUGAUCAUUUCAAACGACUGGAUACCAUUGAAGCUCCUGAGUUGCCAUUUCAAUAUCCAAUCCCUUCUGACGAUAGCAGUUUCCAAGGGUUUAAUUUUCUUGCUAUCUUCUUUUGAAAUCAUUUCUCCCAAACAUUUCCUCAGUCUGAGUUUUUUGGCCAUAUUCUCUCUGAUUCUAUUGUGUGGCUUCAGUUCUUCUCCUCUCAGAUCCCUAACUAACAUGCAUAUGCUUCUACUACAAAUGGAGAGGGGAUGUUGUUAUGAAUAAUCGUCUUUAAAGCCAAAAGUUCUCCCCUCAGACCCCAUACCACCAGACCUGUGGCUGAUUUAUAAUUUCUACUAUCAAACGCUGCAUCAAACUGUAUUGUAACCCUCAGUAUGUCCUCCUUGCUUCUGUAAUACCUGUUUAUGUUACCUGGAAACUAUAAUACUUUCGCUCCUUCAUAUUCUGCCAUAUGCCUCCUUAUGUUUUGUGCUAAUUCCCUUCCUGUUGUAAUUUUCCUUUCAUGCAUGAGCUGAUUCCUGGAAAACCAUAUUAACCAUAAAGCGUAGCAAAAGAGUCGACAUUGAGUUUCAGUGCCUCUUAUGAAUACCCAGGUUAACCACUCCUAUAGACUUUGGUUUAUGUUCUCCAUGACCCAGGAUAAGUUUAAAAGUUGCCAAACUUCUGUUGUUGUAGGACAUUGAUGAAAAAUAUGGAGGCUAUCUUUUGCCCAAGCAUGACAAUGGAGACAUCUAUCAUCUGCAAUGACUCUCCUGUGCUUAAGAUUAACAAGGUUGGGAAUAAAGUCCCAGGAAAUUCUCCAGAUAGUAAUUGAGAUUUUAGAGGAUAGUUGUAAAUUCCACAAUUUCUUGUAAAAUUUUUUAGUUACGGCAUGUAAUAAAUAAUUUCUAGGAUCCGGAAUAGCAUCUUGUAAUAGUUUAUAGGUACUGCGUACUGAAAAUUAGCCAGAUAAUUCCCCUUUCCAAGCUUGAGUAUCUUCAUAAUUGGACUCUGCUAAAGGAAUUUGUAGAAUUUUCUGAGUUGUGUUUGCUUGAAAGCUAUAUUCCCAGAUCGAAAUUUUGUCACCAUUGCCCACUCUCCAGCACAGCCCUUUUUGAGGAAGUCCUUUCGCUGCCCAAAUGCUCUUCCAAGUAAAUGAGGGUAAGCUUCCCACCUUUCACUGCCCAAAUGCUCUUCCAAGUAAAUGAGGGUAAGCUUCCCAACUUUGCCUGUAGGAAACUUGAAUGCGUGUAAUAUUUAGCUUUUAAAACUCUGGCUAAUAAAGAAUUUGAAAAAUUAAUAA
Molecule: long non-coding RNA, 1343 nt
Organism: Gossypium arboreum
Lineage: Eukaryota; Viridiplantae; Streptophyta; Magnoliopsida; Malvales; Malvaceae
Exons: 3
Source: RefSeq, a predicted model, not a curated record